UGGAUUAGGAUUUGAUUUAGGAUUUAGGGUUUGGUUAAAGAUUUAGGAUUUGGAUUAGGAUUUGAUUUAGGAUUUAGGGUUUGGAUUAGGAUUUGGUUUAGGAUUUAAGAUUUGGAUAGGAUUUGGUUUAGGGUUUAAGAUUUAGAUUAGGAUUUGGUUUAGGGUUUAGGAUUUAGGGUUUGGAUUAGAGUUUGGUUAGGGAUUAAGGUUUGAUUAGGAUUUGGUUUAGGUUUUAGAGUUUGUCUAGGGUUUGAUUAAGGUUGGAUUAGAAUUAAGAUUUGGUUAGAAUUUAAGGUUCUAUUAGAUUUUUGUUAGGGUUUGACUAAAUUUUUUUUAAUAUUCUUUUAUAUUUCUUUAAGAUUUCCUUGUGUUUCUUUUAUAACUUUAAUAAAAUUUAAUUGAGCUUGUUUAAUAUUUGAUUAUGAUUAUUGAAGUUUAAUUGUAAAUUUUUUAUAAUCCUAUUGGACUUUUAGAACCUUUUGUUGCAAUUUUCUUUUACCUUCCACAGCCAGGUGCUCGGUGCAUUCUUAAGCAAGACUUCACGUAAUACGAUAGUGGAUGUGUGUUGAUUAUUGAG
This 577-nucleotide long non-coding RNA is filed under the name Physcomitrium patens. RNAcentral describes it as "long non-coding RNA (PPAT_LNC004429)". The record is from RNAcentral. Lineage: Eukaryota; Viridiplantae; Streptophyta; Bryopsida; Funariales; Funariaceae.